GAUGAACGCUGGCGGCGUGCCUAAUACAUGCAAGUCGAGCGAACGGACGAGAAGCUUGCUUUUCUGAUGUUAGCGGCGGACGGGUGAGUAACACGUGGAUAACCUACCUAUAAGACUGGGAUAACUUCGGGAAACCGGAGCUAAUACCGGAUAAUAUUUUGAACCGCAUGGUUCAAAAGUGAAAGACGGUCUUGCUGUCACUUAUAGAUGGAUCCGCGCUGCAUUAGCUAGUUGGUAAGGUAACGGCUUACCAAGGCAACGAUGCAUAGCCGACCUGAGAGGGUGAUCGGCCACACUAGAACGGAGACACGGUCCAGACUCCUACGGGAGGCAGCAGUAGGGAAUCUUCAGCAAUGGGCGAAAGCCUGACGGAGCAACGCCGCGUGAGUGAUGAAGGUCUUCGGAUCGUAAAACUCUGUUAUUAGGGAAGAACAUAUGUGUAAUUAACUGUGAACAUCUUGACGGUACCUAAUGAGAAAGCCACGGCUAACUACGUG
This 497-nucleotide ribosomal RNA is filed under the name uncultured bacterium. RNAcentral describes it as "partial 16S ribosomal RNA". It matches the Rfam family "Bacterial small subunit ribosomal RNA", at positions 28 to 507 of the family's 1533-position model. The record is from RNAcentral.